Molecule: ribosomal RNA, 485 nt
Filed under: uncultured bacterium
Lineage: Bacteria
Description: bacterial SSU rRNA
Rfam family: Bacterial small subunit ribosomal RNA
Source: RNAcentral
AUUGAACGCUGGCGGCAUGCUUUACACAUGCAAGUCGAACGGCAGCGCGGGGGCAACCCUGGCGGCGAGUGGCGAACGGGUGAGUAAUGUAUCGGAACGUAUCCUGUAAUGGGGGAUAACCAGUCGAAAGAUUGGGUAAUACCGCAUACGCACGAGAGUGGAAAGUAGGGGAUCGCAAGACCUUACGUUAUAGGAGCGGCCGAUAUCUGAUUAGCUAGUUGGUGGGGUAAAGGCCUACCAAGGCGACGAUCAGUAGCUGGUCUGAGAGGAUGAUCAGCCACACUGGGACUGAGACACGGCCCAGACUCCUACGGGAGGCAGCAGUGGGGAAUUUUGGACAAUGGGCGAAAGCCUGAUCCAGCCAUGCCGCGUGCGGGAAGAAGGCCUUCGGGUUGUAAACCGCUUUAGUCUAGGAAAAAGGGGUGCGAGGUUAAUACCCUCGUGCUUUGAUGGUACUGGAAGAAUAAGCACCGGCUAACUACGUG